This 71-nucleotide transfer RNA is filed under the name Marmota monax (woodchuck). RNAcentral describes it as "tRNA.Pro". It matches the Rfam family "tRNA". From Rfam's summary of the family: Transfer RNA (tRNA) molecules are approximately 80 nucleotides in length. The record is from RNAcentral. Lineage: Eukaryota; Metazoa; Chordata; Mammalia; Rodentia; Sciuridae.
GGGGAUGUAGCUCUGUGAUAGAGCACAUGCUUGGGAUGUGUGAGGUCCUGGGUUCAACCUCCAGCACACCA